AUUGAACGCUGGCGGCAGGCUUAACACAUGCAAGUCGAGCGGGGUGAUGGUGCUUGCACUAUCACUUAGCGGCGGACGGGUGAGUAAUGCUUAGGAAUCUGCCUAUUAGUGGGGGACAACAUCUCGAAAGGGAUGCUAAUACCGCAUACGUCCUACGGGAGAAAGCAGGGGAUCACUUGUGACCUUGCGCUAAUAGAUGAGCCUAAGUCGGAUUAGCUAGUUGGUGGGGUAAAGGCCUAACAAGGCGACGAUCUGUAGCGGGUCUGAGAGGAAGAUCCGCCACACUGGGACUGGUACACGGCCCAGACUCCUACGGGGGGCAGCAGUGGGGAAUAUUGGACAAUGGGGUGAACCCUGAUCCAGCCAUGCCGCGUGUGUGAAGAAGGCCUUAUGGUUGUAAAGCACUUUGAGCGAGGAGGAGGCUCUUUUGGUUAAUACCCAAGAUGAGUGGACGUUACUCGCAGAAUAAGCACCGGCUAACUCUGUGCCAGCCGCCGCCGUAA
This 503-nucleotide ribosomal RNA is filed under the name uncultured bacterium. RNAcentral's name for it is "partial 16S ribosomal RNA". It matches the Rfam family "Bacterial small subunit ribosomal RNA", at positions 30 to 523 of the family's 1533-position model. The record is from RNAcentral.